GUAGGUGAACCUGCGGAAGGAUCAUUAUAGAGAACAUGCCCUCUAGGGUAGAUCUCCCCACCCUAUGUUUAUUUAUCUUUGUUGCUUUGGCAGGCCCGUCUCACGACCACCGGCUUUGGCUGGUCAGUGCCUGCCAGAGGACCUAAACUCUAAAUUUAUUGUUGUCUGAGAAUAAUAAAAUAGUUAAAACUUUCAACAACGGAUCUCUUGGUUCUG
RNAcentral lists this unclassified non-coding RNA (216 nucleotides) under rhizosphere metagenome. RNAcentral's name for it is "partial ribosomal RNA internal transcribed spacer region". The record is from RNAcentral.